GACGAACGCUGGCGGCGUGCCUAAUACAUGCCAGUUGAGCGCUGAAGGUUGGUACUUGUACCAACUGGAUGAGCAGCGAACGGGUGAGUAACGCGUGGGGAAUCUGCCUUUGAGCGGGGGACAACAUUUGGAAACGAAUGCUAAUACCGCAUAAAAACUUUAAACACAAGUUUUAAGUUUGAAAGAUGCAAUUGCAUCACUCAAAGAUGAUCCCGCGUUGUAUUAGCUAGUUGGUGAGGUAAAGGCUCACCAAGGCGAUGAUACAUAGCCGACCUGAGAGGGUGAUCGGCCACAUUGGGACUGGGACACGGCCCAAACUCCUACGGGAGGCAGCAGUAGGGAAUCUUCGGCAAUGGACGAAAGUCUGACCGAGCAACGCCGCGGGAGUGAAGAAGGUUUUCGGAUCGUAAAACUCUGUUGGUAGAGAAGAACGUUGGUGAGAGUGGAAAGCUCAUCAAGUGACGGUAACUACACAGAAAGGGACGGCUAACUACGUG
This 497-nucleotide ribosomal RNA is filed under the name uncultured bacterium. Its description in RNAcentral is "partial 16S ribosomal RNA". It matches the Rfam family "Bacterial small subunit ribosomal RNA", at positions 28 to 507 of the family's 1533-position model. The record is from RNAcentral.